Macrobrachium nipponense is the source of this 2034-nucleotide long non-coding RNA. RefSeq lists it as uncharacterized. NCBI's taxonomy places the organism in Eukaryota, Metazoa, Arthropoda, Malacostraca, Decapoda, Palaemonidae. The transcript is spliced from 3 exons. The record is from RefSeq and is a predicted model, not a curated record.
ACUCAGCUGAUACGGACAGCGGAUGCGCCCUAUGACGUCAGUGACUGUUUACCUCUUCAUUCUUAAUCAGGAUGUCGACGAAGCAGGAAUUCGCAGAGAGUUUCUCUCAAACGUCACAGAGUACGAAAGUGUAAAUUUCGUGGAGCGUUGCAAGAGAAGCUCAAAUGAGAUAGGAAUUAGUAUGACAAGCCAGCAAGGAGAGAAUAAUUUUGCCUGUGUUCACGACGGCAGGAAUCUGGAAUCCAGGGACUCUGGAAUUCGACCUAAAAAACAAGUCAUUUUCCAGAUGUCUGGUCAUUUGCUCUGUUAGCAGAGGGAGAGAAGGCUUUAAGAAGGAUAAUAGGAGACCUGCAUUACUAACAUCAGGUCUAGCAAAGUGAGAGGGCUCUCCUUUUAUUAGUUUCCAACGACGUUCUUCCCAGAGACAUCCGGACACUUGCAAUGCCAGUUUCAACAAAGGCCUAUUUUGUGUCAGUUUAGUGUCGACCGUCGUGGAAUAUCCUUCUGUGUUCUGGUAGAAGAAGGAUGAAACGAAAAUUGCAAUUCCAACAUCAGCAAUGGGACAGUACAAGUCAAAGCUAUUUCUAGAGCCAGUGAAGGGAAUAUUUAUGAAUGGAGCAAGCAGAAGGUUCGUCCUUCCUCACUGGUUAUGUGGUGAAAUAGUUGCCAAGUUUCACUAUGUACGAAUAAAAGUUUAAAGUUGCGACCCUUUUGAAGCUGUCUAGUCUUAUAUCAUAUGAGCUAUGAAAUGCAUGGAAUCACUGAAGGUGUAAUGACAGAUGCUCCUGACUUCCAUACGUCAGUGUUCUAUGCAUUUCUCUAUGAAUAAAGUAACCAACUAGUAAUUUUCGUAACUCAUGGAGGUGCUACCUUUCUCCAUUAUAGCCAUUCUGGCAAACUAUAAUUCUUACAAAAAGGUAUGUUUUCUUAGUUCUCCAUCUGUCACAAUAGUUAUUUGAGAUGCUACUUAAUCUAAUAAAAAGCUAAUGGAAAAGAGAUCCAUGUUUUAUCACGUUUGAUAAUUUAGAAAUUAAAAAGUUUUUUAUUAUUAUUACUCUAGAUUCCUUGGAUAAUACUACGCUCUAGACACAAUUAAAAAGCAAAUAACUGACUACUCUUUGAUGAUGGAAAACCACGCAUGAUUAGCAUCUUAAAACCUGUCUGUAAGCCAAAACUAUUUAGAUGUAUUUCAUAUGGAAUUUACGAACCUUUGACAAUGAACAUACAUACAGAGACGCGAUGCCAUCUUAAAAAUGCGAGUUUUAAAGUUAGAAAGAUUGUGACAUUUGCAACCUUCAUCAUAACGUAGGUAAUACGUAUUGAUAAUGUCAACAUCGAGAGCCAAUGACAGAGCAACAAAUUUCCCACCUAACCAGAAUGAACUAACUACUAACUAUUUACGGAUUGAUUUAGUUGCCAGAAAUCACUAUGAUUUAAAGCAUUACAAAUAUAGCUUUAAGUGUGUUUGUUCUUCUGCCGAGCUAGCUAUUACAUAUAAUGAACGAUUGGAAGUAUAUUAGAAUAGGUUCUUAACCUCCAUACGUAACAUUCUAUGUGUUUUUCAGUCAAGAGGGUAACCAGCUUGUCUUUUCUUCCUUUACUUUUGCAGACGAUACCUUCAGUCGUUUGUUGCCAUUUUGGUGAGCGCUAAUUCUUACGAAAAUGUCGGUUUUGCAUAGAAAAUUUUUAUAUAUCACUCGCAAGAACCCUUGAAAUUAUUAUAUAAAUAUGAUGUAAAGAUAUUGGAAAAUGAAAUAAGAUUUUUUCACUUCACCUGAGUAAAAAAUUAAAAUAGGUUGUUUCUUAUUUCUCUAGACUCCUUGGAACACUAUGCACUCUUUUCUUUAUGCCUAUUAAAAAGUAAGCUGGCAACCCCUCAAAGAAGGAAAAUGACGAAUAAUUCGCACUUGAAAAGCGUUUCUUGAUUUUAUUUCUAUUUGGAAACAGGCAAUUUAUAAUUUUAAAGCACAUGAAAAUGGAUGGAUAUGAAAACACUAGGUACAUUCGUAAAAAUACAGUGCAGAGUUUAGAAGA